UACGUAGGGUGCGAGCGUUGUCCGGAAUUAUUGGGCGUAAAGAGUUCGUAGGCGGUUCUUGAAGUCCGCUGUGAAAGCCCCGGGCUUAACCUGGGAAUGGCAGUGGAAACUGGGGGACUUGAAUUGAGCAGAGGGGGGUGGAAUGCCGUGUGUAGCAGUGAAAUGCGUAGAGAUGCGGCGGAACACCGAUGGCGAAGGCAGCCCCCUGGGCUUAAAUUGACGCUGAGGCACGAAAGCGUGGGGAGCAAACAGG
This 253-nucleotide ribosomal RNA is filed under the name uncultured bacterium. RNAcentral describes it as "partial 16S ribosomal RNA". It matches the Rfam family "Bacterial small subunit ribosomal RNA", at positions 524 to 776 of the family's 1533-position model. The record is from RNAcentral.